UCCCUGGCAGUCCAGCAGUUAGGACUCUGUGCUUCCACUACAGAGAAUAUGGGUUCAAUCCCUGGUUGGGGAA
RNAcentral lists this transfer RNA (73 nucleotides) under Ovis aries (sheep). It matches the Rfam family "tRNA". From Rfam's summary of the family: Transfer RNA (tRNA) molecules are approximately 80 nucleotides in length. Their secondary structure includes four short double-helical elements and three loops (D, anti-codon, and T loops). Further hydrogen bonds mediate the characteristic L-shaped molecular structure. tRNAs have two regions of fundamental functional importance: the anti-codon, which is responsible for specific mRNA codon recognition, and the 3' end, to which the tRNAs corresponding amino acid is attached (by aminoacyl-tRNA synthetases). tRNAs cope with the degeneracy of the genetic code in two manners: having more than one tRNA (with a specific anti-codon) for a particular amino acid; and 'wobble' base-pairing, i.e. permitting non-standard base-pairing at the 3rd anti-codon position. The record is from Rfam by way of RNAcentral. Lineage: Eukaryota; Metazoa; Chordata; Mammalia; Artiodactyla; Bovidae.